This 301-nucleotide ribosomal RNA is filed under the name uncultured bacterium. Its description in RNAcentral is "partial 16S ribosomal RNA". It matches the Rfam family "Bacterial small subunit ribosomal RNA", at positions 509 to 807 of the family's 1533-position model. The record is from RNAcentral.
CAGUCGCCGCGGGAAUACGAGGGGGGCAAGCGUUGUUCGGAAUUAUUGGGCGUAAAGGGUGCGUAGGCGGCUUGACAAGUCUUGUGUGAAAUCUACGGGCUCAACCCAUAGUCUGCACGGGAAACUGUCGGGCUUGAGAAUGGGAGAGGUGAGUGGAAUUUCCGGUGUAGCGGUGAAAUGCGUAGAGAUGUGGAGGAACACCAGUGGCGAAGGCGACUCUCUGGUCUGUAACUGACGCCGAUGAGCGAAAGCGUGGGGAGCGAACAGGAUUAGAUACCCCCGUAGUCCCUGUCUCUUAUAC